UACGGAAGGCCCGAGCGUUAAUCGGAAUCACUGGGCUUAAAGCGUCCGCAGGCGGACCAGCAGGCGUCUUGUGAAAGCCCACGGCUCAACCGUGGAAUUGCAGGGCGAACCACUGGUCUUGAGGCAGGUAGGGGCCGACGGAACCAUGCGUGGAGCGGUGAAAUGCAUUGAUAUGCAUGGGAACGCCAAUGGCGAAGGCAGUCGGCUGGGCCUGUCCUGACGCUCAGGGACGAAAGCGUGGGGAGCAAACGGG
This 253-nucleotide ribosomal RNA is filed under the name uncultured bacterium. RNAcentral describes it as "partial 16S ribosomal RNA". It matches the Rfam family "Bacterial small subunit ribosomal RNA", at positions 524 to 776 of the family's 1533-position model. The record is from RNAcentral.